Non-coding RNA from Pelobates cultripes (western spadefoot toad), 220 nucleotides. NCBI's taxonomy places the organism in Eukaryota, Metazoa, Chordata, Amphibia, Anura, Pelobatidae. The record is from the annotation of a GenBank genome assembly.
AAUAAUGAAUAAAAAAUGCAGACUAAUCUCGGCUGAAAGAAAGCUGCUGAGCACAUCAAGACCACAUUAAGUAUAGUAAGUACAAAAUAGGGUUGUUACAAAACACAGUGAGUCUAAACAAUGUAACAACCUCUAACAGAAAGACUCAAAUGGCAACAGCAGCUUAUAGAGAAAGCCGAAAUAGUACUCAGCUGUAACCCUAGGUAUAUCUAAAUAGGAG